RNAcentral lists this ribosomal RNA (788 nucleotides) under uncultured bacterium. RNAcentral describes it as "bacterial SSU rRNA". It matches the Rfam family "Bacterial small subunit ribosomal RNA", at positions 8 to 810 of the family's 1533-position model. The record is from RNAcentral.
AGAGUUUGAUCAUGGCUCAGGACGAACGCUGGCGGCGCGCUUAAUACAUGCAAGUCGAACGAGAAGCUCGGAGCUUGCUCCGGGUGGAGAGUGGCGAACGGGUGAGGAACACGUGAGGAACCUGCCCCGAAGACCGGGAUAACACCGGGAAACCGGUGCUAAUACCGGAUGCCCUCGCCGGAUCGCAUGGUCUGGUGAGGAAAUGGAUUCCGCUUCGGGAUGGCCUCGCGGCCUAUCAGCUUGUUGGUGGGGUAACGGCCUACCAAGGCUUCGACGGGUAGCUGGUCUGAGAGGAUGUCCAGCCACACUGGGACUGAGACACGGCCCAGACUCCUACGGGAGGCAGCAGUAGGGAAUCUUGCGCAAUGGGCGAAAGCCUGACGCAGCGACGCCGCGUGCGGGAUGAAGGCCUUCGGGUUGUAAACCGCUUUCAGCAGGGACGAAAAUGACGGUACCUGCAGAAGAAGCCCCGGCCAACUACGUGCCAGCAGCCGCGGUAAUACGUAGGGGGCAAGCGUUGUCCGGAUUUAUUGGGCGUAAAGAGCUCGUAGGCGGUUCCGUAAGUCGGAUGUGAAAUCUCCACGCUCAACGUGGAGGGGCCAUUCGAUACUGCGGUGACUAGAGUCCGGUAGGGGAGUGUGGAAUUCCUGGUGUAGCGGUGAAAUGCGCAGAGAUCAGGAGGAACACCCGUAGCGAAGGCGGCACUCUGGGCCGUGACUGACGCUGAGGAGCGAAAGCGUGGGUAGCGAACAGGAUUAGAUACCCUGGUAGUCCACGCCGUAAACGUU